CAUGCAAGUCGAACGAGAGAGAAGGAGCUUGCUUCUUCGAUCGAGUGGCGAACGGGUGAGUAACGCGUGAGGAACCUGGCUCAAAGAGGGGGACAACAGUUGGAAACGACUGCUAAUACCGCAUAAGCCCACGGGUCGGCAUCGACCUGAGGGAAAAGGAGCAAUCCGCUUUGAGAUGGCCUCGCGCCCGAUUAGCUAGUUGGUGAGGUAACGGCCCACCAAGGCGACGAUCGGUAGCCGGACUGAGAGGUUGAACGGCCACAUUGGGACUGAGACACGGCCCAGACUCCUACGGGAGGCAGCAGUGGGGAAUAUUGCACAAUGGGGGAAACCCUGAUGCAGCGACGCCGCGUGGAGGAAGAAGGUCUUCGGAUUGUAAACUCCUGUUGUUGAGGAAGAUAAUGACGGUACUCAACAAGGAAGUGACGGCUAACUACGUGCCAGCAGCCGCGGUAAAACGUAGGUCACAAGCGUUGUCCGGAAUUACUGGGUGUAAAGGGAGCGCAGGCGGGAAGACAAGUUGGAAGUGAAAUCUAUGGGCUCAACCCAUAAACUGCUUUCAAAACUGUUUUUCUUGAGUAGUGCAGAGGUAGGCGGAAUUCCCGGUGUAGCGGUGGAAUGCGUAGAUAUCGGGAGGAACACCAGUGGCGAAGGCGGCCUACUGGGCACCAACUGACGCUGAGGCUCGAAAGUGUGGGUAGCAAACAGGAUUAGAUACCCUGGUAGUCCACACCGUAAACGAUGAUUACUAGGUGUUGGAGGAUUGACCCCUUCAGUGCCGCAGUUAACACAAUAAGUAAUCCACCUGGGGAGUACGACCGCAAGGUUGAAACUCAAAGGAAUUGACGGGGGCCC
Molecule: ribosomal RNA, 855 nt
Filed under: uncultured bacterium
Lineage: Bacteria
Description: bacterial SSU rRNA
Rfam family: Bacterial small subunit ribosomal RNA
Source: RNAcentral